UACCAUAAACGAUGCCACCAGCGAUCCGCCUGAGUUAACUUAAUUGACGACUCGGCGGGAAGCUUCCGGGAACCCUUGAGCAAGGUUCCGGGGGAAGUAUGGUUGCAAAGCUGAAACUUAAAGGAAUUGACGGAAGGGCACCACCAGGAGUGGAGCCUGCGGCUUAAUUUGACUCAACACGGGGAAACUCACCCGGCCCGGACACUAGCAGGAUUGUCAGACUGAGAGCUCUUACUUGAUUUGGUGGGUGGUGGUGCAUGGCCGUUCUUAGUUGGUGGAGUGAUUUGUCUGCUUAAUUGCGAUAACGAACGAGACUCUAGCCUACUAAAUAGUGAUUGGGCCGCCCGGGACUUUGCCGUUGGUGUGGGUGCCUCGAGGCGCUCAUGCUAGCUAAAGACGACCGGGACCGUGCCGCAAUGCACUUCUUAGAGGAACUACCUGUGAAUUAGCUGGAGGAAGGAGAGCAAUAACAGGUCUGUGAUGCCCUUAGAUGUCCGGGGCCGCACGCGCGCUACACUGAAAGGUGAAGUGUGCUCGAGACCCCAGCUUUCUCGAAAGAGAUCGCUAACCAUGCAAACCCUAUCGUGAUGGGGACAGUUCCUCGUAAAUAUUGCACUUGAACGAGGAAUUCCUCGUAGGCGCAGUUCAUCAGACUGCGCCGAUUACGUCCCUGCCCUUUGUACACACCGCCCGUCGCUACUACCGAUUGAAUGUACGGGUGAGCUCUUGGGACCGGUUGUUAUGGGUUGCCUCGCAAGGGGCAGCCCGCUACGACUGGAAACAUGCGCAAACUCGUUCAUUAGAGGAAGU
Molecule: ribosomal RNA, 810 nt
Filed under: Arachnida sp. W5
Lineage: Eukaryota; Metazoa; Arthropoda; Arachnida
Description: SSU rRNA
Rfam family: Eukaryotic small subunit ribosomal RNA
Source: RNAcentral